CAUGAAAGAGUGGAAGGCUGAGAUCCUGAGACUGAGGGAGGCAGAGAGCCAGAGGGAGGCAGAGAGCCAGAGGGAGGCAGAGAGCCAGAGAGAGGCAGAGAGCCAGAGAGAGGCAGAGAGCCAGAGAGAGGCAGAGAGACAGAGAGAAGCAGAGAGACAGAGGGAAGCAGAGAGACAGAGGGAGGCAGAGAGAGAGAGGGAAGCAGAGAGACAGAGGGAGGCAGAGAGACAGAGAGAAGCAGAGAGACAGAGAGAAGCAGAGAGAGCCACAGAAGCAAUGGAGUACCAGAGAAAACUGCAGGAGAUCCACAGACUUAAACAACUGCUGGAUCUACUGAUGGUGGACCUACAACUGGCCCACGUAAGACAUGUCAUUGUUAUUAUUAAAAGGCAGUGUAUAUUUACCGAGCUGAAAAUGAAUAGUGGCAGACAGCGGUACGCUAACCUAAUGUUAACUUUUAUUCCUUUCCUUAACCCUUACCUUAACCUCACUGAAACUAUACCUAACCUUUACCUUAACC
Oncorhynchus tshawytscha (Chinook salmon) is the source of this 521-nucleotide long non-coding RNA. NCBI's taxonomy places the organism in Eukaryota, Metazoa, Chordata, Actinopteri, Salmoniformes, Salmonidae. The record is from Ensembl.